AAACAACAUUGAAACGCCUCCCUCUCUUGCACAAGGAAGGUUUGAAGUUGCUUCUUCUCCGGCAACUGGUUAGUGGCGAGUGUCCAUUAACCAGAUAAUAAGGGAGGAAAGCUUGCUCCGGUAACAAAGCGUCGGAAGACGAUUGGCGAUGUCGCGAUGGCGCUAGUGGUAGAGUGGCAGCGGAUGUGGUGGUCGUAGAUGAAUACGGCGGACAGAGGCGAUCAAAGAUGAAAUAGAUAUGGAAGGAGGCGAUUGUUGUGGUUCAUUAUCGUUUGCCUAGCUUGUAGAUCUCGACUUUCAGCUUGUCGUCGCUCGUAGAUAUGGCAUCGCUGCUCAUUGGAGUUCCAAAAUCUAGCCUCGCCUAUCAUCGGUGGUGUUGUGGUCGUCAGUGAUAUUGCGAUCGUCGUCAGUAGUGGCUGUUAAUGAAAAAUUAUAGAUCUUGAUAUAGAGGACGAUGAUGUUAGUGGCGGAUCUCGUCGAUCUACUGAGCUGGAAUACGCCGACUUGGAUUCCGGUGAGCUAGUGGUGGGGGGGGCAUCGACGACGAUAACGACUGCAGAUGGUUGUUGGUGGUAGAAGGAAAAAGGAAAGUGAGAGGUUGAUGAUUUUGAGAAUGACAGGACAUGAAUCAAAUCUAGUUUUUAGAUUUGGAUUUUAAGAUCUGAUUUAUUUAUUUGUGAAAUUAGACUAAAAUUUGUUGUUGUUUACAAUUCUAUCAUUUUUUUUUUAGUAAUUGUUAGGUAAAAUAGAUAGUUCUUAGGUUUUUAAUUUUAUUUGGUUCUCAUUUUA
Molecule: long non-coding RNA, 789 nt
Organism: Lactuca sativa (garden lettuce)
Lineage: Eukaryota; Viridiplantae; Streptophyta; Magnoliopsida; Asterales; Asteraceae
Source: RefSeq, a predicted model, not a curated record